RNAcentral lists this ribosomal RNA (434 nucleotides) under uncultured Clostridium sp. RNAcentral describes it as "partial 16S ribosomal RNA". It matches the Rfam family "Bacterial small subunit ribosomal RNA", at positions 341 to 792 of the family's 1533-position model. Lineage: Bacteria; Bacillati; Bacillota; Clostridia; Eubacteriales; Clostridiaceae. The record is from RNAcentral.
ACGGGAGGCAGCAGUGGGGAAUAUUGCACAAUGGGGGAAACCCUGAUGCAGCGACGCCGCGUGAGUGAAGAAGUAUCUCGGUAUGUAAAGCUCUAUCAGCAGGGAAGAAAAUGACGGUACCUGACUAAGAAGCCCCGGCUAACUACGUGCCAGCAGCCGCGGUAAUACGUAGGGGGCAAGCGUUAUCCGGAUUUACUGGGUGUAAAGGGAGCGUAGACGGCGAUGCAAGUCUGAAGUGAAAGGCGGGGGCUCAACCCUUGGACUGCUUUGGAAACUGUAUUGCUAGAGUGCAGGAGAGGAAAGUGGAAUUCCUAGUGUAGCGGUGAAAUGCGUAGAUAUUAGGAGGAACACCAGUGGCGAAGGCGGCUUUCUGGACUGUAACUGACACUGAGGCUCGAAAGCGUGGGGAGCAAACAGGAUUAGAUACCCUGGUA